RNAcentral lists this ribosomal RNA (253 nucleotides) under uncultured bacterium. RNAcentral's name for it is "partial 16S ribosomal RNA". It matches the Rfam family "Bacterial small subunit ribosomal RNA", at positions 524 to 776 of the family's 1533-position model. The record is from RNAcentral.
UACGUAGGCAGCGAGCGUUGUUCGGAGUUACUGGGCGUAAAGAGUGCGUAGGCGGUUUUCUAAGUUUGGUGUGAAAUCUCCCGGCUUAACUGGGAGGGUGCGCCGAAGACUGGAAGGCUUGAGUAUGGGAGAGGUAAGCGGAAUUCCUGGUGUAGCGGUGAAAUGCGUAGAUAUCAGGAGGAACACCUGCGGUGUAGACGGCUUACUGGACCAUCACUGACGCUGAGGCACGAAAGCGUGGGGAGCAAACAGG